Molecule: microRNA, 22 nt
Filed under: Brugia malayi
Lineage: Eukaryota; Metazoa; Nematoda; Chromadorea; Rhabditida; Onchocercidae
Also listed under: 1 other name
Description: bma-miR-1822
Source: miRBase by way of RNAcentral
GAGCUGCCCCUUGAAAGACUAA